UCAUUAGUUUUUUAAUUGAAAGCUUGUAUGAAUGGUUUGAUGAAAAAAUAACUUUCUAUGAUUAAUUUUUUAAGAAUUUUAUUUUUAAGUUAAAAAGCUUAAAUUUAUAUAAUAGACGAGAAGACCCUAUAGAGUUUAAUUAAAUUAUUAAUAUUAAUUUAAGGAAUUUUAUUAUUUUUAUUAAUAUUUUAAUUUGAUUGGGGUGAUUAAAAAAUUAAAUUAACUUUUUUUAUAUUUAAACAUAAAUUUAUGAAUAUUUGAUCCAUAUUAAUGAUUAAAAGAUUAAAUUACCUUAGGGAUAACAGCGUUAUUUUUCUUUAGAGUUCAAAUCGAAAGAAGAGAUUGCGACCUCGAUGUUGGAUUAAAGUUUAAUUUAGGUGCAGAAGCUUAAA
This 392-nucleotide ribosomal RNA is filed under the name Phrynocaria congener. RNAcentral's name for it is "partial 16S ribosomal RNA". The record is from RNAcentral. Lineage: Eukaryota; Metazoa; Arthropoda; Insecta; Coleoptera; Coccinellidae.